RNAcentral lists this ribosomal RNA (728 nucleotides) under gamma proteobacterium GWS-TZ-H115. RNAcentral describes it as "bacterial SSU rRNA". It matches the Rfam family "Bacterial small subunit ribosomal RNA", at positions 11 to 736 of the family's 1533-position model. Lineage: Bacteria; Pseudomonadati; Pseudomonadota; Gammaproteobacteria. The record is from RNAcentral.
GUUUGAUCAUGGCUCAGAUUGAACGCUGGCGGCAGGCCUAACACAUNCAAGUCGAACGGUAACAUUUCUAGCUUGCUAGAAGAUGACGAGUGGCGGACGGGUGAGUAAUACUUAGGAAUAUGCCUUUGUGUGGGGGAUAACUAUUGGAAACGAUAGCUAAUACCGCAUAAUGUCUUCGGACCAAAGGGGGCUUCGGCUCCCGCGCAAAGAGUAGCCUAAGCGAGAUUAGCUUGUUGGUGAGGUAAAGGCUCACCAAGGCGACGAUCUCUAGCUGUUCUGAGAGGAAGAUCAGCCACACUGGAACUGAGACACGGUCCAGACUCCUACGGGAGGCAGCAGUGGGGAAUAUUGCACAAUGGGGGAAACCCUGAUGCAGCCAUGCCGCGUGUGUGAAGAAGGCCUUCGGGUUGUAAAGCACUUUCAGUUGUGAGGAAAGGUUAACGGUUAAUACCCGUUAGCUGUGACGUUAGCAACAGAAGAAGGACCGGCUAACUCCGUGCCAGCAGCCGCGGUAAUACGGAGGGUCCGAGCGUUAAUCGGAAUUACUGGGCGUAAAGCGCACGCAGGCGGUUUGUUAAGCUAGAUGUGAAAGCCCUGGGCUCAACCUGGGAAUUGCAUUUAGAACUGGCAGGCUAGAGUUUUGGAGAGGGGAGUGGAAUUCCAGGUGUAGCGGUGAAAUGCGUAGAUAUCUGGAGGAACAUNAGUGGCGAAGGCGACUCCCUGGUCAG